RNAcentral lists this long non-coding RNA (328 nucleotides) under Glycine max (soybean). RNAcentral describes it as "long non-coding RNA (GMAX_LNC003158)". The record is from RNAcentral. Lineage: Eukaryota; Viridiplantae; Streptophyta; Magnoliopsida; Fabales; Fabaceae.
GAAGACCCAAACAAAGGAGUGGUACAGUCCAGCAGUACAAUCCACUCAACAGAACAGAUAGUCAGAUGCAGAAACCAAACAAAACCUAGUUUGCCCGUAAGUUUGUUCAUUUUGAAUUCAACUUAAACAUACCAAACAGUUGAAGAGAAUGACAAGGAAACACAGCCAGCGCUGAUAUUUAAAUUGAAUUUAGGUGUUGUGUUUUAUAAACUUACUUGAUAUAUAGAUGUUUAAUCCUUUCUCUAAUUGUUGAGGGAUUUGCACUUGUACUAUUCAUUGCAUACAUUGUGUGCAUCACUUCUUCAACUAUCUAUAUAUUCAAGUUUUG